RNAcentral lists this ribosomal RNA (467 nucleotides) under uncultured bacterium. Its description in RNAcentral is "partial 16S ribosomal RNA". It matches the Rfam family "Bacterial small subunit ribosomal RNA", at positions 28 to 507 of the family's 1533-position model. The record is from RNAcentral.
GAUGAACGCUGGCGGCGUGCUUAACACAUGCAAGUCGAACGGAAAGGCCUCUGCUUGCAGGGGUACUCGAGUGGCGAACGGGUGAGUAACACGUGGGUGAUCUGCCCUGCACUUCGGGAUAAGCCUGGGAAACUGGGUCUAAUACCGGAUAGGACAAUGGUUUGGAUGCUGUUGUGGAAAGUUUGUCGGUGUGGGAUGAGCUCGCGGCCUAUCAGCUUGUUGGUGGGGUAAUGGCCUACCAAGGCGUCGACGGGUAGCCGGCCUGAGAGGGUGUACGGCCACAUUGGGACUGAGAGACGGCCCAGACUCCGGCGGGGGGCAGCAGGGGGGAAUAUUGCACAAUGGGAGCAAGCCUGAUGCAGCGACGCCGCGUGGUGGAUGACGGCCUUCGGGUUGUAAACUCCUUACGCUAGGGACGAAGCGUUUUUGUGACGGUACCUGGAGAAGAAGCACCGGCUAACUACGUG